Molecule: ribosomal RNA, 253 nt
Filed under: uncultured bacterium
Lineage: Bacteria
Description: partial 16S ribosomal RNA
Rfam family: Bacterial small subunit ribosomal RNA
Source: RNAcentral
UACGAAGGGGGCUAGCGUUGUUCGGAUUUACUGGGCGUAAAGCGCACGUAGGCGGAUAGUUAAGUGAGGGGUGAAAUCCCAGGGCUCAACCCUGGAACUGCCUUUCAUACUGGCUAUCUAGAGUCCGGAAGAGGUGAGUGGAACUCCUAGUGUAGAGGUGGAAUUCGUAGAUAUUAGGAAGAACACCAGUGGCGAAGGCGGCUCACUGGGCCGGUACUGACGCUGAGGUGCGAAAGCGUGGGGAGCAAACAGG